UUGUGAGUGAAAAAGGAAGAGAAGCAGCAUGAACCCACCAAAGCCUCGAUAUGAAAGUCUGUCAAGCUUUACUCUGUUUCAUCUUCCUCAACCUGCAGGAUGGAAACACUGGACUUGCCAACGCUGAAACUCUCGUCUAUGAAGGAGUGGAAGGAGGAAACAUCACAGUCGAAUGCAAAUUUUAUAUCCUUGGAAGAAAGACAUUGUUCUGCAAAGACGAAUGUGAAAAAGGAAACGUUCUCAUUGAAACACCUGAUUACACAGCCCAGAGUGGCAGAUACAGAAUCAAAUAUGAAAAAAAUUAUUUCUCAAAGGAUAUCGUGCACGUGAGCAUCACACAGCUGAAAAAGUCUGACUCAGGAUGGUACAGAUGCACACUGGACACAACUUUACAACCAUGUGAUUUCAAGAUCUUUGUCAAAGAAGUCUCCAUGACAACAACAAGAACAACAACAAUACCUGACUCAGGAUUUACCAGGAACUGUGCGUCUCCGCCUCUCUUGUCUUUCAUCCAGGUUUCUCCUUGCAUUUGGUUGUAAGUAUAACUGUGGUGGUGGUUCUGCUGCCUGUUGCUCUGCUGCUUAUCUACAGAAAAUGGGCUGGUGGCUCUUUCGGUGAGUUACUUUCCAACAUUAUCUGCACAUUUGAUAUUCAUUAAUUCAAAAUAUUUCUUUUGCCACUGAUUGGUUGCUGACGUGCCCAGGUUACGUCACAGUUUAUAUCCAACAGGCAAAAGCACUCACAAUGCACUUUGCUGAAAAUGUUUUAGGUUCUGAAAAAACAUGUAAGAAUUCAGUGAAUAAAGUUAAUAGUAACUUUCUGUCUUUUCUACAGGUCUGAACAGCAGGAGACACUCAGAACAAGGCCAGACUGAGAUUAGUCUCAGUGAACGCUAUCAUCCAGUCUCCUCAUGUGAAGACUCGAUCUACCAAAGCCUCAAUAUGGCGAGCAGAGAUCACGACCAAAUCUACUCUACACUCAGACACAAUAACCAGUUUUCAGACAUGAGCUCCUGUCAGACUGAAUGACUGCAUGAAACAUGGCAAUAGUACUUCUAUUGUUUACGUUACCAGGCUCAGUGAUGAGGAUUUUGUCGUCAGACUUUGAGCUCAAGGUUUUGUGCAGACGUCCACGUGCCUGCCAACUUUUAAUGAUGGCAGAUAUGAGUCAUUUGCAGAGGACAGGAAACUCCUCUACAGUGCACCAACUAUGAGUUCAAGAAAAUGUAACGGAGUAGUGUCAGAGACUAUUGUUAAAAUUAUAAUAUUAUUUUAUGCCAUGUCAUACCCUAAUUAAAGAUUGUGAAUUAUUACUGUAGUUUUAGUUUGCAUUAUUCUCCUGAAUUAGAGGAAGCUGAUAACUAUUGCAUUAGUUAAACUGAUUUGCAUUACAUUAGACUGCUGAUUUAUUGUGAUGAGAACAAAGCAGAACGAGCAGCAGUGGCAGCAGCUGAACUCUGACCUGAACAAAAAUCUUGACUUGGCUGGGAGAGACAGAGGAAGAGCUGGCGCAGCAGCGUAGACUGGAGCUUGGCACGGACAUCCAGACGAUUGAGCUGCGUAUCAAAACCAACUGGACGACACUGGUAGCUGCAGCAAUAAAAUAAAGGCUAAAAGCUCCUUGGACAGAGGUUCUAGGCUGAGUACGUGUGAAGGGUAUAAGGUAGCACCAAAUAAAGCUGGGGGAGAACUGGGGAGUGUCAUCUGUAGCCGGCUACUGUUGUAAUAAUAGUUUUUCUUACAUCUGAACUGCGCAAACACAGAGGUCAUCUCACAUAUGGUUCGCCCAUCAGGGGGACAAAGGACCUCAGGAGUGAGAAGAGAUGAACCCGGCCACACUGGAUUAUAGGGUGUUGGUGAGCUCAUUAUUCUAAUGAGCUCAUGAUGAGCUCAUUAUUCUAAUGAGCUCAUCAGGGGGAGUGUAAGAUUAUAAUAUUAUUUUAUGCCAUGUUAUACCCCUAGUUAAAGAUUGUGAAUUAUUAUGUAGUUUUAGUUUGCAUUAUUCUCCUGAAUUAGA
This is an RNA transcript of Haplochromis burtoni (Burton's mouthbrooder), 2016 nucleotides long. RefSeq lists it as uncharacterized. The record is from RefSeq and is a predicted model, not a curated record. The transcript is spliced from 5 exons. NCBI's taxonomy places the organism in Eukaryota, Metazoa, Chordata, Actinopteri, Cichliformes, Cichlidae.